GGAAGAAAAGGUGUGUGCACAAUUUAGCAGUCGGAAUGAUCCAUUCCACCACGUUCGGUCACGAUCGGAAUUAUCCACUUUCAAGAAACAAUCAAUACUCUUGUGAUUCAUGGGUUCAAUGGAAAAUAAUGGUCAAUCACCUCCAGUGGCAAUUGUCACAUAUCGACUGAAGGACAAGCAGGUAGCAAAAGUGAUGAGCCCACUGUGAUUUGCCAACAAAAUGGCUUACUGCAUCAUUUCAGAAGGAUGUUCAGAAACAACCACAUUGCUGUGGGUCUGGAAUCACAUAUGGACCCAGACUGGUUAAGUAUUGCAGUUCAUUGGAAAGUGGGAGAAUUGCGAGGUGGUCAGAACUGGUUACGCAGAGGAGUAGAGAUUGCUCCAGCUGACAUUCACUGAAAUGACAUGUUGUUGAAGAGUUUGCCAUCAUCUACAUCAUCAAUGCUACCUUUCUCUACAUGCUGAAGGUUCUCCUCCAAGUGUUGUCCCUCCCCUGGUAAAACCAUUAUAGUGGACAACAAACCCACUAUCCUGUGGGGUAUUCUUUGUGGGAUGAAUGGGAUAUCUUUGUGGCACCACCAGUCCAGUGCAAGUCAACAGAACCUUUGCUUAAGGGCCAAAUGGUCUGUUUGAAGAGAUCUGUGCUUGAGGAAUGAAUCUGAUGCCAGCAUAAUUUGGCCAGUGAGUGUAGGAUCCAGAGGGCAGUAAAAUGAACAAGUCCCUGAUUCCAAACUGACAGAUUCUGGACUCCCUGCACAAGGUCAAAGAAUUGGAAUUCUUUGGCAAAAAAUAAAAGCUGUAAUGGGUAUUGGACUGGAGUUAUCACACACCCAUUGCACAUGGCUACAGUGACAAAUUUACCAUUCAUGCAGGCAUUAGGAUUGUGACAAGAAGACUAGUUUGUGUCAUGAAUUGAGUCAAUGAUGCCUUGGAUUUUGAGUAGGUCUACAGUCUUGUGAACCCCAAGACUGGGGUUCUGCUACUUUCCAUUGUCAAGAGGAAGCAGAUAUGACCUGCAUGGUGCAAGCUUUUAAUGAAUUUGCUGAUGUUUCCUAAGGCAGCCUGCAAGGAACUAAAAGCUAAAAACCUGUAACCUUCAUUGUGAUGGGAAAUGCUACAUUGGACUUUGGAUGCACGUGCUGUAGGAGAUGACACAAUUCUGCAAUAAUCCCCCUGAGAGUUCUAACCUUUGUUAUGCAUUGUCCUCUGAGAAAUGUAGAUUUAUAUGUUUUUGGGUUUAAAAACACGAGAAGGAUAAAGGUACCUAUGAAUUUUUUUUUCUGUUUGUUUUCCUUGCAACAGCAGAUUUUAAUGCUCCUUGCUCCUCAACCACCUCCUUUUCCUCUCACCACAGCAUAAUUUUGAAAAGGAACCUCAUGAAGAAAAGUGCCAAUUGCCAGUUAAUAACUGAGAAUGUUGUACAAAUCUAAGUAGCUAAAAGUUAAUUGAGGGAAAAAAGGACUUCAGAACUUUUACAGCUUAUGAUUAUUGCGCAGGUUGACUGACUAUCAAUAACAAGAAAAGUGGUAAUGAAAAGACAAAAUUGUAAUACAGCAGAUGUUGGAGAUCUAGAAUAAGAAUUAAAAAAAAAUGGAGAAUCACAGCAUGUCUGGCAGCAUCUAUGGAGAAAGAAACAUAGUUAAUAUUUCAACUCCAAUAGGACUCUUCUUCAGAGUUUGGUUC
Molecule: long non-coding RNA, 1683 nt
Organism: Hemiscyllium ocellatum (epaulette shark)
Lineage: Eukaryota; Metazoa; Chordata; Chondrichthyes; Orectolobiformes; Hemiscylliidae
Exons: 3
Source: RefSeq, a predicted model, not a curated record